GAUGAACGCUGGCGGCGUGCUUAACACAUGCAAGUCGAACGGGAAAUACUUCAUUGAGACUUCGGUGGAUUUGAUCUAUUUCUAGUGGCGGACGGGUGAGUAACGCGUGGGUAACCUGCCUUAUACAGGGGGAUAACAGUCGGAAAUGACUGCUAAUACCGCAUAAGCGCACAGGGCCGCAUGGCCCGGUGUGAAAAACUCCGGUGGUAUAAGAUGGACCCGCGUUGGAUUAGCUGGUUGGUGGGGUAACGGCCCACCAAGGCGACGAUCCAUAGCCGGCCUGAGAGGGUGAACGGCCACACUGGGACUGAGACACGGCCCAGACUCCUACGGGAGGCAGCAGUGGGGAAUAUUGCACAAUGGGGGAAACCCUGAUGCAGCGACGCCGCGUGAAGGAAGAAGUAUCUCGGUAUGUAAACUUCUAUCAGCAGGGAAGAUAGUGACGGUACCUGACUAAGAAGCCCCGGCUAACUACGUGCCAGCAGCCGCGGUAAUACGUAGGGAGCAAGCGUUAUCCGGAUUUACUGGGUGUAAAGGGAGCGUAGACGGUGUGGCAAGUCUGAUGUGAAAGGCAUGGGCUCAACCUGUGGACUGCAUUGGAAACUGUCAUACUUGAGUGCCGGAGGGGUAAGCGGAAUUCCUAGUGUAGCGGUGAAAUGCGUAGAUAUUAGGAGGAACACCAGUGGCGAAGGCGGCUUACUGGACGGUAACUGACGUUGAGGCUCGAAAGCGUGGGGAGCAAACAGG
Molecule: ribosomal RNA, 747 nt
Filed under: uncultured Lachnospiraceae bacterium
Lineage: Bacteria; Bacillati; Bacillota; Clostridia; Lachnospirales; Lachnospiraceae
Description: bacterial SSU rRNA
Rfam family: Bacterial small subunit ribosomal RNA
Source: RNAcentral